This 253-nucleotide ribosomal RNA is filed under the name uncultured bacterium. RNAcentral describes it as "partial 16S ribosomal RNA". It matches the Rfam family "Bacterial small subunit ribosomal RNA", at positions 524 to 776 of the family's 1533-position model. The record is from RNAcentral.
UACGUAGGGGGCAAGCGUUGUCCGGAAUCAUUGGGCGUAAAGCGCGCGUAGGCGGCCCGGUAAGUCCGCUCUGAAAGUCCAGGGCUCAACCCUGGAAAGCGGGUGGAUACUGCCGGGCUAGAAUCCGGAAGAGGCGAGUGGAAUUCCUGGUGUAGCGGUGGAAUGCGCAGAUAUCAGGAGGAACACCGGUGGCGAAGGCGGGACUCUGGGCCGAUACUGACGCUGAGGAGCGAAAGCGUGGGGAGCGAACAGG